RNAcentral lists this ribosomal RNA (1345 nucleotides) under Curtobacterium oceanosedimentum. RNAcentral's name for it is "bacterial SSU rRNA". It matches the Rfam family "Bacterial small subunit ribosomal RNA", at positions 87 to 1444 of the family's 1533-position model. Lineage: Bacteria; Bacillati; Actinomycetota; Actinomycetes; Micrococcales; Microbacteriaceae. The record is from RNAcentral.
UGUGAUUAGUGGCGAACGGGUGAGUAACACGUGAGUAACCUGCCCCUGACUCUGGGAUAAGCGUUGGAAACGACGUCUAAUACUGGAUAUGAUCACUGGCCGCAUGGUCUGGUGGUGGAAAGAUUUUUUGGUUGGGGAUGGACUCGCGGCCUAUCAGCUUGUUGGUGAGGUAAUGGCUCACCAAGGCGACGACGGGUAGCCGGCCUGAGAGGGUGACCGGCCACACUGGGACUGAGACACGGCCCAGACUCCUACGGGAGGCAGCAGUGGGGAAUAUUGCACAAUGGGCGAAAGCCUGAUGCAGCAACGCCGCGUGAGGGAUGACGGCCUUCGGGUUGUAAACCUCUUUUAGUAGGGAAGAAGCGAAAGUGACGGUACCUGCAGAAAAAGCACCGGCUAACUACGUGCCAGCAGCCGCGGUAAUACGUAGGGUGCAAGCGUUGUCCGGAAUUAUUGGGCGUAAAGAGCUCGUAGGCGGUUUGUCGCGUCUGCUGUGAAAUCCCGAGGCUCAACCUCGGGCUUGCAGUGGGUACGGGCAGACUAGAGUGCGGUAGGGGAGAUUGGAAUUCCUGGUGUAGCGGUGGAAUGCGCAGAUAUCAGGAGGAACACCGAUGGCGAAGGCAGAUCUCUGGGCCGUAACUGACGCUGAGGAGCGAAAGCGUGGGGAGCGAACAGGAUUAGAUACCCUGGUAGUCCACGCCGUAAACGUUGGGCGCUAGAUGUAGGGACCUUUCCACGGUUUCUGUGUCGUAGCUAACUCAUUAAGCGCCCCGCCUGGGGAGUACGGCCGCAAGGCUAAAACUCAAAGGAAUUGACGGGGGCCCGCACAAGCGGCGGAGCAUGCGGAUUAAUUCGAUGCAACGCGAAGAACCUUACCAAGGCUUGACAUACACCGGAAACGGCCAGAGAUGGUCGCCCCCUUGUGGUCGGUGUACAGGUGGUGCAUGGUUGUCGUCAGCUCGUGUCGUGAGAUGUUGGGUUAAGUCCCGCAACGAGCGCAACCCUCGUUCUAUGUUGCCAGCGCGUUAUGGCGGGGACUCAUAGGAGACUGCCGGGGUCAACUCGGAGGAAGGUGGGGAUGACGUCAAAUCAUCAUGCCCCUUAUGUCUUGGGCUUCACGCAUGCUACAAUGGCCGGUACAAAGGGCUGCGAUACCGUAAGGUGGAGCGAAUCCCAAAAAGCCGGUCUCAGUUCGGAUUGAGGUCUGCAACUCGACCUCAUGAAGUCGGAGUCGCUAGUAAUCGCAGAUCAGCAACGCUGCGGUGAAUACGUUCCCGGGCCUUGUACACACCGCCCGUCAAGUCAUGAAAGUCGGUAACACCCGAAGCCGGUGGCCUAACCCUUG